GUGUCAGCAGCCGCGGUAAUACGAACCGUCCAAACGUUAUUCGGAAUCACUGGGCUUACAGAGUUCGUAGGCGGUGGAGAAAGUAGGGUGUGAAAGCCCUCGGCCUAACCGAGGAAUUGCGCCCUAAACUACUUCGCUGGAGGAGGAUAGAGGUGAGCAGAACUGAUGGUGGAGCGGUGAAAUGCGUUGAUAUCAUCAGGAAUACCGGAGGCGAAGGCGGCUCACUGGGUCCUUUCUGACGCUGAGGAACGAAAGCUAGGGGAGCGAACGGGAUUAGAUACCCCGGUAGUCC
RNAcentral lists this ribosomal RNA (292 nucleotides) under uncultured bacterium. RNAcentral describes it as "partial 16S ribosomal RNA". It matches the Rfam family "Bacterial small subunit ribosomal RNA", at positions 505 to 796 of the family's 1533-position model. The record is from RNAcentral.